GCAACUUUUGCUUUUAUAAUCAGAAAAAAGAAAUCAAAGUUAAUUUAGAAAGGAAUUGUACUGCUUUUGAGGAGCACAAGCUUUGGAUACAGAAAGACCUUGAAUUAUAGCCUGCUUUGAACCUCUACGAUCUGUGCAGCAUUGGCUAAACAUUUCUUAGACUCAGAUCUUCAGUUUCACAUCUUUUAAAAGGCAUAAUAACAGAAUGCUUACAGGUUUACCUUGAAAAUAGCUGAGCCUACCUUACGGAGUGCUGGACGUGUGGUAUGUGUUUAGUGCAGGCCAGCUCCCCUCCCCAGUUCAACACAUCCUGAGUGGUAUCCACUGACAUUGAAAGACCAAAAUCAGAUCUUUUUGAGUCUCAUCAAUUCUAUCAAAAAAACCCUCCCCCUUGUGCUCUCAACCUAGGAGGGUCAAGCCAGUGGAAUGGUAAUCAUCUUGUGUGAGUUGUCAGUGCUCUCCUAAGCAUCUGUUACGCAGGAUCACGCUCUUAAGUUUGCCAAAAAUUACCUCAUUGAUAAUGUCUGCUGGAGAUGCUUAGGCAAAACUUGAAAUAGAAAGAUAGUCUUUUGGAAGACAAUUCCCCACAAGUGUAACCCCAAAGAAUGUUGGUUUGGUGACAUGGAACAGCUGGAAAAGUAAGACCACAUCGUUCAAAAGCAUGACAGUACCUCUGCAAAUGAGACGAGAGCUAAAUAUGUGUCUCAGAGAUAGGAAGCUAAAUCAGAACGCAGCAAGAAGACAGCACACAUUCGAGAGAGGAAAAAAUGUGAAAUCUGCUUCUGGCCAUCAGAGGAGCUGAUGCAAUCCCGGCUGACUCGGGGGACAGCCACGGUGCCAGCUACAGAGGCCACAUGGCUUCUAAUGAGGCCAGGCCCAGUUGUAGCUCCGAAGAGUGGGUGAGCCAGCCAAAUUUCACCCAAGGACAGAAGCAGCCUUAACAGCUGUUGACAAGCACUGGCUACCAUCUAUGUGUCAACAAUUGUGUCAUGAGUUUGAGAUGGGCCGACAGCACGUGGAACUCAAAGGAACUUGUUUGGAAUUGAGCCUUGAUUCUGAAAAGAAAGUAUCAGAGGGCAGCAUUUGAACUGGCAUUUAAGGUGUCAACCAGGGGGAAUUUGGUGCCGACCAGUAAAAGGGGAGAAUCAAAAACAGAAGCUCCAUCACCAGGGACAGGGCCAGACUCCUGACUAGAAACUCAGUGGAUGUGCUGAAUCAUUCGGAUACUUUCCAGAAAAUUAUUUUACCUACUCAGAAGGCUGGGCAUCAGCCAAAACUGUCUGGAAAACCACAAGGAAAGACAUUUCCAUGAAGUAACUAGAGUUUUGGGCUUCUACUCUAGAGGAAUAUAAGAGGAACUUUCUUUAAAGAGUAUGCAGGUGGUUCCUUUUAAGCUCACCUGUCUGGUUUUUCAAACAGAUCAAGGGGUGAUGGCAGGGAAACGUCUCCCCUGGAAAUCUCACCCCUCCAUUUGCUAAAGAGAAGGAGCUUCAAUCCCUUGACAGGAUGAUGAAACAAUAAUAAACUGAUGUGACCAAGUCUCAUGCCAGCAGUCCUACCUGUGGCCCACCCUUCUCGUGGCCAACAAUGGCUUUUCUUAAAUAAAUAAAAAUCAAGAUUUGUACCACUCCUGCUGUAAGCUCUUCAGUGGCUCAUGGAUGAAUGAACAGGAUCACCAUUGGCACACAAGUCCCCCCACAGAUCACCUACUCAUCUUUCCACCCCAGCUUUUGCCAUUCUCUCCCCAUCCCACAAAUCCAUUGCCAUCCAAAGAUAAGAAAGAUACCAGAUAGGGCUUCCCAGUUGCAGCAGAGUGGACUGUCUUUACACUGGAGGGCUAUUCUUCCACAAAGAAGUCUUCUCCCCCGUGGGAAGGGAUUGGAGUACUUCUCCUAGGCACUAUGUGAGCAGAUGGUUGAGAAAUGAGCUAGCCCUUGAGCUUCUGCAGCAAGGGAGGGUCCCAUCAUGAGAGCAGAUGGUAUGGGAAAUGCACCAGUUUGGAAUUGGGAGGAACAAGUUUCAGGCCUGACUCAGAUACAGAUACUUGCCAUCAUCAGUAUGCCCUUGAAUGAACUAUAAAGUGUCUCUGAACCUCUGUUGUCUCCUUUGCAGUGUUGAGCCAAGGUUAUAUACCACACAGGGAUUGAGGAAGAGGAAUUAAGGCAGCGUACAUGGAAGUGGCUGGCUCAGUCAUCACUGGCUAAACGCUACUUGAAUUCCAUUCUAAAACUCCACAUAGAAAGGCAAUUUGACAAAAUUUGAUCAUCCCUUCACCCCAAUUAUCACCCCGUGAACUUUUCUUCCAUUUAUCACCCUUGGAUUUCGUAGCUCGGCACACACAGUCUUUCUCCCUCUCUCACUUCUUUCUUUCUCUCCUUUUUUCUUCUUCUGUUAAACCUAAGAAAUUCUAAUGCUGAAGAGGGUUUUCUUAAGGUGAUUCUCCUGGAAAAGAUGACUCUUUAAGCAAAAAUUCAGACUUUCUCUAGAGUGACCGAGACAUGUAGGUGGCGGUAGCAAUACAGGCUGACCUUCCAGCAUGGUCCUGGGAACCACAGGUCAGCUCUGCUGCAGAUGCCCAGACAGCGUGUCUCUUCCUGAAACAAAUCGACUUCCACAUGGCUCUUCUGAAGACUAAGAUGGCCACGUCUAUCUAAUGAACCCAUCCUGCCACCUCCAUUUGGGUCCUGGAAAUGGACCGAGCUCUUUUGUGGUUCCCUGUACAUUUCAGCGUGCAUCUUUAGCUAUGAGAGGUCAUUUGCUGCCAGUUCUGUUGGCUUUAAUGAGUCUCCUGCCUUGGACCUGGAGAGAGAAGUGGGAAAAUGUGAUUCUCAUGCCCAGGCCUGGCCUCCCUGAACUCACUUUUCCCAUUAAGCUUUGACACUGGACCAUGCCUUUGUUGGCAGAGGAGGUUUUUAUGGAUCUUAUGGGGGAUGCACAAUGGAAACUGGAAUUAAACUUGUGUUUCUCUUUUUUCUCUCUCUUUUCCUUGAUUGGGUUUUGACAGAAAUUAUUUGACUGUUUCCUUUUCACAUGGACAGAAUCGAGUAUGUUCUUUCAACGUUAUCCAAACCAUCAUGCUCAAAUGGAAAGGAAAGUUCUGUGAGGUUAAAUGGCAGAGACAUGAUGUCUACAGUAGGAACAAAGCUGCUUAGAUCCUUCCAGACGCUGUAAAUUCCCCUAACAUAAAAGACAAGAGUACAGACUCUGAGGUCAGAGGGACUCACGCCCAAAUCCCUUCCCCACCUCUCACAAGUUACUUAUUCUCUUUGAGUCCUGAUUUUCUCACUGGUCAAAUGGGAAUAAAAAUCCCCUCCUGGGCCGGGCAUGGUGGCUCACGCCUGUAAUCUCAGCACUUUGGGAGGCCGAGGCGGGUGGAUCAGGAGUUUGAGACCAGCCUGAUCAAAAUGGUGAAACCUCGUCUCUACUGAAAAUACAAAAAACUUAGCCAGGUAUGGUGGUGCACACCUGUUAUCCCAGCUACUCAGGAGACUGAGGCAAAAGAACCACUUGAACCCGGGAGGCAGAGGUUGCAG
This 3533-nucleotide long non-coding RNA is filed under the name Homo sapiens (human). Its description in RNAcentral is "HSALNT0026804". The record is from RNAcentral. Lineage: Eukaryota; Metazoa; Chordata; Mammalia; Primates; Hominidae.